GAGAUCAGUAGCACAUGUCAGUGUGAAUUACAAACAGUUCAGCCGAAGCUCAGAAAAGUCUUUAUCGCCACCUGCUGGUCAAAGUGUAACUGCAACAGUUCAAAUCCUGAAUCAGCUCCUCGACUCGAUAUGAACACUUGAUAACAAUGAGAUGCUCUAGAAAGACUUUAUCAAUGUUUUUGUUGGGGUUUUUUAGCAAUGAUUCAAAUAUUAAUCUGAAAACUCCAACAGUUAAUGCAACCAUAAACUUUAUAUAACUUUCUGGGAAAGUUUGAUGCAACACUCAAAGUUUGAGCUCAUUUGCAGAUUUGAUGGUGAGCAUCAGUUUUCAAGUCUUGCAACGGAUUCUUAGGUCUGGCCUUUGACUAGGCCAUUACAAUCCCAGCAUCUAGGCCGUCCAGUAACAUCUCUGGCUGAAUGUUUAGAGCAGUUAUCCUGCCGGAAGGUGAACUUCAACAAAACUGCAUUUAAAAUACACUUUUCCUCAGAAAUCUCGUCUCCUACAGAUAAAAAAAUCAAAACAUCCAAAGAUCUGAACUUGUUUUUCUUUACAGCUUCAUAUUAUUGCUGGAAUUGAUGAGCCAUGAGUUUCUUGGCUCGUCAAGGACUUGAAGCUGAAAUGUUUCGCUGCAUAGAGGAAGACCUUCGGGACGUCAGAGUUUCCUCUGGGAUGAAGAAACGCCGGAGCAGAGCUUGCUCAACGCUGGCAGCAGAACCCCCAUCAGAACCGCAGGUCCAGACUCCCAGUCCGGUUUAUGGAGAGGAAACUCAACCGGAUCCAGACCAAAAUUUAAAUCAGAUUAAAUACUUUAUGACGGACCGUUGAUUGAUUGAACCAAGAAGGAGGAACAACCUGCACAAAUGUAGAACAACAAAAUAUUCCUUUUGCUGCCAUUUUCCCUUUAAAUCCAGUUGAAGCCGAACGUUUUAUCAUUGAGCUGUUUGGUUAAAUUAGUGUCUGAAUGUUUCUGUUAACGUGAUUUAAACAACUUCAGAAAGUUGUAAAUAUGUCUUCAUAAGGAAAGGGUGUACUUUCUUUUUCAAAUUGCUGUGUGUUGAGUUUUCACCCUCA
Molecule: long non-coding RNA, 1072 nt
Organism: Xiphophorus hellerii (green swordtail)
Lineage: Eukaryota; Metazoa; Chordata; Actinopteri; Cyprinodontiformes; Poeciliidae
Exons: 3
Source: RefSeq, a predicted model, not a curated record